UGGGGAAUCUUGCACAAUGGGCGAAAGCCUGAUGCAGCGAUUCCGCGUGGAGGAUGACGCAUUACGGUGUGUAAACUCCUUUUCUGGUGGAAGACGAAUGACGGUACACCAGGAAUAAGGGACGGCUAACUACGUGCCAGCAGCCGCGGUAAUACGUAGGUCCCAAGCGUUAUCCGGAUUUACUGGGCGUAAAGUGUCCGUAGCCUGAUAUGUAAGUCUGUUUUCAAAUACCUGGACUCAAUCGAGGGAAGGGAAUAGAUACUGCAUAUCUAGAGAUAUUUGGAGGUUAGUGGAAUUUCGGGUGGAGCGGUGAAAUGCGUUGAUAUCCGAAAGAACGCCGAAAGCGAAAGCAGCUAACUACAAUACAUCUGACGGUGAGGGACGAAAGUUUGGGGAGCAAACGGG
Molecule: ribosomal RNA, 405 nt
Filed under: uncultured bacterium
Lineage: Bacteria
Description: bacterial SSU rRNA
Rfam family: Bacterial small subunit ribosomal RNA
Source: RNAcentral